Molecule: ribosomal RNA, 765 nt
Filed under: Clostridium botulinum
Lineage: Bacteria; Bacillati; Bacillota; Clostridia; Eubacteriales; Clostridiaceae
Description: bacterial SSU rRNA
Rfam family: Bacterial small subunit ribosomal RNA
Source: RNAcentral
AGAGGAGGAAGCCACGGCUAACUACGUGCCAGCAGCCGCGGUAAUACGUAGGUGGCGAGCGUUGUCCGGAUUUACUGGGCGUAAAGGGUGCGUAGGCGGAUGUUUAAGUGGGAUGUGAAAUCCCCGGGCUUAACCUGGGGGCUGCAUUCCAAACUGGAUAUCUAGAGUGCAGGAGAGGAAAGCGGAAUUCCUAGUGUAGCGGUGAAAUGCGUAGAGAUUAGGAAGAACACCAGUGGCGAAGGCGGCUUUCUGGACUGUAACUGACGCUGAGGCACGAAAGCGUGGGUAGCAAACAGGAUUAGAUACCCUGGUAGUCCACGCCGUAAACGAUGGAUACUAGGUGUAGGGGGUAUCAACUCCCCCUGUGCCGCAGUUAACACAAUAAGUAUCCCGCCUGGGGAGUACGGUCGCAAGAUUAAAACUCAAAGGAAUUGACGGGGGCCCGCACAAGCAGCGGAGCAUGUGGUUUAAUUCGAAGCAACGCGAAGAACCUUACCUGGACUUGACAUCCCUUGCAUAGCCUAGAGAUAGGUGAAGCCCUUCGGGGCAAGGAGACAGGUGGUGCAUGGUUGUCGUCAGCUCGUGUCGUGAGAUGUUAGGUUAAGUCCUGCAACGAGCGCAACCCUUGUUAUUAGUUGCUACCAUUAAGUUGAGCACUCUAAUGAGACUGCCUGGGUAACCAGGAGGAAGGUGGGGAUGACGUCAAAUCAUCAUGCCCCUUAUGUCCAGGGCUACACACGUGCUACAAUGGUAGGUACAAUAAGA